RNAcentral lists this ribosomal RNA (404 nucleotides) under uncultured eukaryote. Its description in RNAcentral is "bacterial SSU rRNA". It matches the Rfam family "Eukaryotic small subunit ribosomal RNA", at positions 368 to 772 of the family's 1831-position model. The record is from RNAcentral.
AAUCAGGGUUCGAUUCCGGAGAGGGAGCCCGAGAAACGGCUACCACUUCCAAGGAAGGCAGCAGGCGCGCAACUUACCCUAAUCUCGAUUCGAGGAGGUAGUGACAAGAAAUACCGAUGCGGGGACCCCUACGGGGUGCCGCGUUCGGAAUGAGUACGAUUCGAACCACCUAACGAGGAACGAUCGGAGGGCAAGUCUGGUGCCAGCAGCCGCGGUAAUUCCAGCUCCAAUAGCGUACGUUAAAGUUGCUGCAGUUAAAAAGCUCGUAGUUGAACGUUCGGGUUCCGCGGGACGGGGCCGCCCCGCGAGGGACGGCGCCGCCCCGGGGCUCGUGAUAUCUCAUCUCGCCGCCCGUCGCGAGGCGGACGGAGGGAUGGAUGAGGUUACCUGGAAAAAAUCGGGGC